This is an RNA transcript of Cygnus olor (mute swan), 7374 nucleotides long. It is a transcript of the gene named F-box protein 34, with no coding region annotated. NCBI's taxonomy places the organism in Eukaryota, Metazoa, Chordata, Aves, Anseriformes, Anatidae. The record is from RefSeq and is a predicted model, not a curated record. The transcript is spliced from 5 exons.
AGGCCCGUCCCCGCUCCCGGUCCCCGUCCCUCCCCGCUCCGCCCCGGGCAGGGAUUGGAGCUGGGCCGGCCCGGCUCCUCCCGUCGCGGCUGCUCGGUGCAAGGAGGUUGGGGAGGGGGAGGAGGAGGAGGAGGAGGAGGAGGAGUGGGGGGGGUGGGAUCCGGCCGCGCCGAGCCCGGGCUGGCGGCUCCGCGCAGCUCGCCGCCGGGACGCCCCCUCCUCGUCCCCGCCGGAGCUCGGCAGCCCCGCUCCGGAAAUGCCUUUCUCGUGAAUGUGCAAGGAACCUACACCACUGUAAUGUCUAACACCACAUGGAAUAACAACUGUGUGAAGUUCCUAGGUGGGAGAGACACGGUGAGGCUCUGUGCGGGGCAAGGAGCGCUGAUGAGGGAGCCUUGCAUGUGAACCAGGAUGGACUGGCUGUGACGGCGUGCCUUAGCUGGAGAGGUAGUUACGAUGAAGAGUUCCUGCAGAGCUGGCCUCCACAGGGAACCGCUGAAUUCCUCUUCUUCCACCUUCCAUCAAGUCAAACGGUACGAAGAGACCAGCUGGUCCGCCUAUAAUUAAAUAUUUAGUACCAAUUUGGCCUUCUGCUUACUUUCUUGCUGUCUUGGGUGUCACUUAGUUGGUCUCAGUUCUUACUUUCGGAUACUCUUUAAGUGAAAUGGUGUAAUGGCCUAAGGGCAGAAGUGUUUUUUGACACUUUUAUUUGAUAAUGACAACUACAGACUAACUACAGCUGGUACUGUACUUGGUUUGUACUUGAUAUUUUCUAGCAACAGCUGUAAAUUAAUUUGGGAAUAUGGCUUUGAAGUAAAACUCAGUUGGAGGAUGGCCUGUCCUGGUAGGCUUUAAUACAUGCAGUCAGCUUAAAGCAAGCGGAAACACUGGCGAUCGUUGUUGUGGUUUGUCUUACUAAGGAGUAAGUAAUUGGAUUAGUUUAAGCUUAAAUUUUGUAUCGCUCGCUCUCCUGUGUCUCUUAUUCAGAAGAAGUGCACGAUUGAUUUCAAACACUUGUGCUUAUGUGACAAUUAAGUGAACGCCUCUCACUGUGUCUCGUUAUAGGAACACCGUACAGAACAACUUGUGCUCAUGCAAAUGCAAGAACGUGCGAGUUUGUUUGAGUUCAGGCUACUUGGAGGAAAAAAAAAAAAGCAUUUUUUUGAAACCAAGACUCUUCAACUUCCUCAAUCUGGAGGAAGAGAGCCAAAUUUCUUGUUUCCAAAAUUUGUGUGGUUUUAAAGUAAACUUUAACCUUUGUUCCUUGUGGUUAUGUAGACAACAUAUACUUGCUAUGUUAGUCUCGUGGUAAUUUAGUGCUGGAAAAGACUGCCUGGGUAGCCCAGCUCCUUGCUUUCCCAAGCAGUAUCUCAUAAUCCCUUUUGUAAACUUAGAAGUCCAGCCUAAAAACAAUGACACCUCUUCUCUCCUCCCAUAGAUUAGGCCGUUACCGAAGAUGACAGAUCUAACUGUGCAGUUGGGAUCCUUCUUUUGAUUCCCAGGCUGAACAUUCAUGCCAGCUUAUAGAUUUGUUUGAGCUUGCGUUGUCAUUUUAUUUUUUUUUUUGCAUAAGGACCGCUUCUUUUCAGUGGUUUAUCUCUUUUGCUGUAUUCAGGGAAAUGCAGCAGUAUUCCCUCACCUGUGGUUUUGCAGCACGAAAUGACCCCAGCGUUUUCAAGGAGCUUCUUGAAUAGUGACUGCUGCUGUUCUCAGCCUGGGUGAGUCUCCUCUGAGUCAUGGCAAAAACUGUGUGCUGAACUCCAGAGGAGACCUUGUAGGAGGGCUUUGAAGUGAUGCCUUGAAUGUAUCACAGAUCUGCCUCGGUGCCGUAGCUGUGUCUAUGGUAGCUAACGCAUCGCUCUCGGUUAACUCCGACACGUCUUGGUGUUCUGCAGCUUUCUGGUGCAUCGCCGUCUGUACCUCCGAAUUCUGCCUCGCUGCUAUUUCUGGGAGCUUUGUGCCUCCUCUGUGUUGGUAAUGCCUUUCAUUUCUGUCAGAGCACCUGCAGUGUUCUUGCUGAGGUCACUUGUAACAAACCCAAAUCGUUCCCCAGGCUGAUUCCUGAGGCAUGGCUUUGGUUUCCAGGCUGGUAUCUUAUUAUUCAGCGUCACCUGGGACUGUCUGCUGUUAAGCCAGCUUCUUUGUCUGUUUUACCUUUUCUUGUCAAUCUGUUUUAACCAGUAAAUCUCCUCGUGCCCCCUCAAGUCCGUAUCAGUAAACCACAGUACGUGGCAUUUUUCAAGAUCUUUUUUGGAGAACCUUCAGGUUAGUCUUGCACAUUGAACUCUUCCUUCCCCCACUCUUUAUCUGUGGCUUUGUAAUCCUCUUUUCUUGCAGAGCACCUUUUUGUAUCGAAGUCAGCCUAGCUGGCCUGGAGGUGCUGAGAUCUCUCUCCCUUCUCUUUCUCCCCUGCAGCACCGCCUGUGAUGUGCCACAUGUUUUAUUAAUGCUGAAUGUUGCCUUUCAAGAGGUUUAUAAAUCUUCUUGCCCUGCAGUUUAUGGAUCUGUUUUGGAAUCUAAAAUUGAAAGGAGCCAUUCCUUGCAAUCUUCAUGAUGCUUUUUAAUCUUCCCACCCUGCCACCUCCCAGUGUUCUUGUUCAAGUUAACCCCGUGCCUUGUGGCCUCCUGAUCAUCGUUAGCACCCCCUUGAAAAAAAUGCAAACUCAAAUUUAGUGCUUUGUGCUUUACCUGGAGUACUCUUAAUCUCUGCCCUGACCUGGCUUGCAGCCCUAUUUCUUUCCCUAUCCUCUCUCACAAACUGGGGAACCUUUUACUAUUUCUUUUCCUAUAUGUUUGCAGGGACUAACCCUGCACCAGUUCUUAAGCUUAUUCCUAGACUUUUUAGGUUUCUUAAGUUUUAACUUUCCAGGUGAUACUGACCUGAUGAUUUGUGGUUGUUUCUUGUAUCCUUCUGGGAGAAGGAAUGUAUUCAAGUGGAGUUUCUUCAGUUCUUACUUGGGAUGUGUUCUUUAUAAUGAAAAUACCUUUUGGCUCCUGGAGAAUGCCUCCUGGGUUGCUCUGUCUGCAGUGAAAUCCUCUAUACCGCGGUGCAGCCCCCUUCUUCAACCAGUUCCUUUAGGUCUUGAGUUUCAAAAGAACAAACCGGUGACUUGCCUUCGGAUCUACUUUUGCUUAUUCUGUCUUCUGAGCUCUGAGUUUCUCACUGAUGGCGCAGUCCAAGGUUAAUUCCUACAACCUUUCACGCGUUCUCAUUAUGUGUGCACAAAAGUGAAGACUCAGUAGCAUCCCUUUGUGUUUGUUUGAAGAAAUUUGUUGUGCCAUCAUAUCCAGAAAGAUCUUGGUCCUGUAGCAGCAGUAAAUAAGAGAACAAGUCUUACAUCAAGAAAGAUAACAUUUCCAGGAGGAAACAUGAUUAUUUCUGGAGAAUUGGGGAAUGUCUGUCUGUGCUGCUCUGAUCUGCGUUCAGCAGAAGCCCGAUAAAACCAGCACUUCUUUCCUCACUGUCCUUUUUCCAAAUGACUCCACGUAUGUGAUUCUUUCUUGUCCUUGUCUGUUGCACCACAGGCAUGCUUUCUAUCCCAUCAUCUUUGAGCUAAAUGUUUUUGGCCCAGCUUUGAGUGACUUUGAACACCAGAUCUUUCAGUUGACUUUGUUUCCCUCUGCUUGGUCAUCCCUGUGUCAUCUGUAGUGUGGCUGGGAAGUAGGGGACAUGGACUUGAGCUUCUUGAGGCUCAACAAAGAAUCGGUUCUACAUUGCUCACGUGAUGGUAAGUGCUUUUAUACAAAGACUGGCGAAGAAAUGCCACUUUUUCUUGUCUAUAAUGUAGAAAGUAGUGGAGUACACCAUGGUUUAUGUGAAUAUGCUUACUGUGAAGUGUGUUCAAACCUUAUCAAUGGGUGGGAGCCCUCAAACUUGAGUUGCCUGCGCAUCAGGCUGGGCCGUGCAAUCUGUCACCCGAAACUUCUUGCUGAAGAUGACAUUUUUUUGCAUGACUCUUAUCUCGUGCGUGUAGCUAUAUUUGAGUGUCGUCACCCCACAAGUUAUUUGAACACCUGAAGUGGUUGAACACGCUGUGGGGGACCCAAGGUUAAGAAUUGGGCAUUUACUUGGCAUUUAGCUCCUCUGCUGUCUAGGGCCAACCCCGACCCACUUGUGCAUGCCUUGCUCCUGCUCCCUCCUGCUCCUCCUUGCUUCGGCACUCACACCUUCUGUCUACCUGCAAAGCCUGCAGCAAUCCUUGCUUCCUCUGGCUGACGCAGGAUGCAGUUAGACAGGCACGAGGGGAUGCUGAGCAGUUGCUUUAGCAUGAAGUUAGUGCUGCAAGGGAGUGGGUUUUCUAGAAAUCAAAUGCUUCCACAGCUGCUGAGGUUGAACCAGCCCCGCUCUGGAGCGUUGAGCUUCCCAACCCGCCUUUCCCCGAGCUUGGAUGUUCGCCACGCGCCAGAGCAAGCUCCAGUGAGUAGCAGAGCAUCGUCCAUCCUGGCUGCUACGCUGGGACUUUCCCGCCCCGGCAGAAUCCGUGGAAUGUCUUUGAAGCAGCUCUCCGUCUGCUCUGCCUGCCCCAGCAGCACGAAGGGGAUGGAAACGGUACUGGAGAGUGAGCCCAGAGGACCCACGGAGCCCUUCCAGAAACAACAAGUGGUUGACCAUGGCUGAACUUGCACGCGGUGCUCAGUCCUCCCUAAUUGUCGGUUCUGUGCUGAGGAGCUCAGUUUUAUGUCAGAAAAAUGGGGUGCCAGGGAGGAGACGUGCCCUGCCAGAGGUUAUGCUUGGGUUUUCAUUGUUGUUGGCUUUUUCUUUCUCUUAUUUUUUUGGCCGAUGCCUCGUGUUAGUAUGUCCUGAGGGUUUUUUUGGAGUUGUAGUUGGCACGGCACGCGCAGUUAGCAAUACUAGGAACUCUUGCCUACUGCAGUUAGUGUUUACAGAAAGAAAUUCACAGGAAACUUUGGGGUUUUGAUGGAAAUUUUUGCCUUAAUAAAACCUUCCGGUGCUUUGCCCAGAAAACUCAGCGUGAAUGUGCUGUUGGAGUGUAUCAUACUGUGAGGUUUUGUUGUUCUUCUUCGUGCUGGCCAGAGGAAACCUUUUGGCUUCAUGGGGCACUGUGGGAGCCCAGCCCGAGGUGCAGGAUGGGACAUGUAGGCUCUCUGUGAUCCCAGGAAGCUGGGAAAAUGGAGCCUUUUCUACCAGUUUUUCCUCCAUCAUUGGAGCUUCUACUAAAGGUGAUAUUUUAUUUUUAGGCUGCUGUGAAUUACAAGAUAUAUAAAGGCAAAAGGAUGCAGAAAGAUUCUGGUCAACUUGGCGCAGCAGCUUAUGGAUCUUCCCUUCGGUAGGGAGAGGAGAGCUGCCACAAUUAUCUGCUUGCCAGCACUGAAGUGUCGCAGGAAUAAGCUCCUCUUAAUGAAGGGUGCUGAGCUGAUUUGUAAUGCCGGAUUCCUGAAAAUGGCUCCAAGAAAGCCUUUUUAACCCAGAAUUGGGCUCAUCUUUCAAACACCCUGGCACGAGAACUCAGGAAUGAAAUCCGAUCUUCCCUUCCUAGCUCCUGGGGUCUCGACGCGGAGGGCUGCGCGUUCAACCGUGCUCACCUCUUUUUCCCAGGGAGCUGCGGUGAGCUGCCACCGGAGCUUUUCCAUCUGGGAGUUUUUCCACCUGGGAAGCACCUCUCCGAAAUGCGGAUGGCGAAGGGCGGGCUCCAGGCCUGGCUCUGCAGCAGCUGCUUGCAGGGAUUCAGCUGCCGCUCUCGGGGCUGGGCUCUGACCCAAGCACAUCGGUGGCCUGACCCCGAUCAGCCCUGAAGUGCAGCAGAGAUGACGCAGACCCUACGGAAAACCAGGCUCCAGCAAACUGGCAGCAGCCGCGAGUUCCCGUUCUCUCUUACCCAUCCGUUUCAGCACCCUGAAGCUCCAGUUUUAGGGCAUCAUUGCAGUUUUUAGCAUCCAACUGAGAAGGAAAAUAGCUCCGUUGCGUUUUGCAGAGGAGCCUAAAUUGGGAAGUGCCCCAGUUCCAUCAGGAGGCACGGGCAGGGGACGAAGGCAGGGACCAGGUAGGUGCACCCACGGUGACGGGAGCUCUUUUGUCCCUGUAGCUGAAGUGAAGAUGGCUUUGGUGCUCUCAGCUUGCAGGAGAGAGGUGAUCUGCCUGUAAAAUCAGGAGGGAGACCAACCAGCAGUUACCGAGUGUCUGCACUGGCUGAUACACGGGGCAGCUCUGCGUGGAAGCCUUUAAUCAAGUUGGUUUUAGAUGAGAAACGACCAAAAAAAACACGUUUUGGUGGUAGCUGCGAGGGGAAAUGUGUUCAGUGCCUGGCUGUGUCCGUACCAGCUCACGGUGAACGCGGCGUUGAACUCGGUGUUGUUAACCUACCAGUCACGGAUCAGCCCUGUUUCCAAAAGGGUUCCUUUUAAUUAACAAUUCCCAGAUUGCCGUGGAAACCUAAUCUAUAGUUAGUUCUGUAAUACGCUUACAUGGUGGCUCUGGGGGAAGAGCCUGAAGCCUCCUGACGAUUGGAUUCUACGCGGCGGUGCCCUGGGCUUCUGCGUUUUUUUGAGCUUUGCGUUGGAGAUGAACACGGAGGUGUAGCAGAAGGGAGGAACGGAGAGCCGGGGACUGUCACACGAGUGGUACUGCUCUAAUGCCAGCAGCCUCCAGGCGUCUUCUGCACAGCUCGUAGGUUCCUGACCAUAAAGGUGCUCACUUGAAAGGGGUUCUCUCCAGCCGUGCUUGAGGCUUCUGUCACUUCUCUGGAGCAGGCGUCUUACGAAUAGCGCAGGAACCCUGAUGGGAGAGCACACCACGUCUGCCCUUCCUGAUGGACUAAAGGAACUAGUAUUAGGUGGUGUUAGGAAUGUGGAUAUCUGCCGGGCUCUGUUGGUCAAUAUAAUUGCACUUGGUAACUUCCCUUUCCAGCUUUAACUGCGCUUUAUCUUCUGAGAAGUCUGUACAGCUGGCAGCUAAGGUCAAGACAAGCCCUUCGACCCGCAGGUGCCUUACAACUGGAUCCAGAGAUGAAUGGACAGGAGGAUUGCUCUAACUCUGUAAUGAACCCUUGGCUAUGUUUGUGCACCCGCCGUAAGUUAAGCAUUAGGAUUUCUCCUUGGAGCUCCCCAGAAACAAAUUUCUCAAGUGGGAAGAUCUCUGCUACCCUAAAGAUUGUAAUCCCGUUGCGAGACGUGAGUAGAAGUUCUCCGAGGGUGAAUAUCACAGCCCGGCCGCUGCUGUUCCUUUUUCAUGUGGUUUCUUUUGAGGUGUGGGCUGCUUGAUGUAGAGCAGGAGACAUGCUGGUGCCUACUCCGGGCCUUCUUCUCUAAUUCCAGGCAGGCAUAUUUUGCAACUAUAAUUUCUUCCCUUUCUGUUUUUCUAGGGUUUCUGGUAUGCACUUAAAGCCAUAUCUCAAGUUACAGAAGAAAGAGCGAUCU